This is a long non-coding RNA of Oreochromis niloticus (Nile tilapia), 3121 nucleotides long. RefSeq lists it as uncharacterized. The record is from RefSeq and is a predicted model, not a curated record. Lineage: Eukaryota; Metazoa; Chordata; Actinopteri; Cichliformes; Cichlidae. The transcript has 2 exons.
UCAAACAAAGUUCAAAUUAACCCCUUUUUGUUUUUAUUGUAAAACAAUGCUUGUUUUGCCAUUUUGAAGCUGGAUGUGAUAAGCCAGGAUUGGAUCUAACUCCAAAGCCAAGCACACCACACAUUUACUGGCAAAUGACUUGGCUGACAAGUCCACCUUGGUCAGUUUUCCUUUCUGCCUUUAAUAAUAAUGCAGAAUUACAAAAUCACCUCGCUUUACGAACAUGUGUUAUCCACUAUGGCCUAAAACUAACUGAGCCAAUAGAGUCACAUGAAGGCCUUUACUAAUUUGACACAGAAACAGAGCUAGUGGCUGUUUCCUUCAUUCAUUAUUUCAUUAUUGCAAUAACAUACUUGACAUAGCAUCUUGCCGUGUCACAGCAAGGAUUUCACAGCAAAUUUGCUUCCAUCGCAUUCAACCUUUUGCCAAUUCACACACUUUGUCAACUGUGGUGUGAACAUGUUUCAGCUGUUUGUGCUGGUGCAGAUCAUAAGAAGCAUCUGUAAGAUUUUAGAGCAUCAAGACUGAAAGGUAAAAUCUGAUAUUGCCGCUUUAGGCAUGUAGACAGGCAGGAUCUGGCAUGUUGGGUUUCAAGCAGCAAAUUCUUGGCAAAGCAACCAGCCUCAAUUUUGUAGACCUGUCCACAUAACCUUAGUUCAUUUUGAUGAAUCGGGGUUGGAGUGGUUGGUUUGGUGGAACAGCACUGAUGGACGCAGGUGUUCUUAAGGCGGUUGACCAGACUGACACCCAGGAUUUGGCACAGGCACCUUAUCUGUGAGAUUUCGAGCUUGUCCAUGCCCUCAUUCAGUAGGAUCCAGUACUUAGAGCCAUACAGAAGUGUAGUAAUAAUGAGAGGUUUUGCAGUUGUGUGGCUUCUAACCACAUGAUGUUAACUUGUAAGCCAUUUUGGAUGAUCAUAGUGGAAGUGUAGGGUCAAGUGAAUUUGGUCCCUGUCACACAGGCCUAGACAGACACUGGUCCACAACCAUUGGUUGCUGAGGAAAAAUUUAUAUUCCCUAACGUUGGCAAGUUGGCACGCACUUUGCCAACCUUUACUACCGCGUGUCAAGUAGUCAAAGAAAAGAGAGAGUAAAAAAGAGAGCUUCUAAAAAAAAAAAAGAGUUGCUACAAAGAGAGUAGCAACCAAAGCAAUCAUGAGGUUUUUGGUGCUGCAUACUCUUUGCAACCGACUUACCCAGCAACCCCCAAGAACCACUGCCAACAAAUCUGGGAAUGCACGUUUUUCCCCAGCAGCUGGUGGCUUCCCUAGCAAGUUAAAACCUUUUUUAAGGUUUCUCACUUGACAUUAUGCACACGUUGCUCAAGUGAUGUUCAAAUAUUAGAUAUAAUGCAACCAAAAACAUCCUAUUGAUUGCAUGGCUGCCUGUAGUUUUUCAUGUUUGCAGCUUACUAUCUAUCUCUAUCAAACUAAGUGUGAUGCAGAGCAGAAACUACACCUUGGAGAACAGCUAGACAGAUUUUGUAGACAAGUUUAAUUUGCUCAACAAUAUGCUAAAAACCAAGGCAAUUACCAAGAGGCAUUUAGAUGCCAGUUUCUCUAGCGACAGGGUGUCACUGAAAGUGGGGCUGCGUGACUCGAGCUUUAUCAAUCCUCCCAGCAACUACUGGAAACUAGUUGUGGAAUCUUCAUUUUCCCUCACAACCGGCUUGCCUGGUCUCUAAGCCCGAGUGUCACGAUUCCAAAAUGGCACAUUUUUGCAAAACCUCAAUAUAGUCAAGAAUAGUUAACAAUUGCUGGUCAUUAAAAAAAAAGAAAAAAAAGAAAGAAUUUAGAUUUAACGAACUUAACCACAGUCCACACACUUAACUGUCAUUUUUUUCACUAGAAAUCGUUUACAAAUUUCCCAUAUCCUUAUCAGAUAAUGUGGCAGUCGUUAACUGACUACUGACACAACAAUUAGACCGAAAGUGAUUUGAAUGCUGUUAAAACAGGAAAUUAAUCAACAGCCUGGAAAACCCAGAACUCUCCUUCGUGACGUCGUCUAUCAUACCACAGCAGAGAGUGCGAGUGGGAGAGUCAGAGGCAGACCUUGCGGGCAGAGCAGCUGGUUGGAUGAAGAGUUCCUCACCUCGCACGAAGAAACACCGUGUGAACUAACAGACGGACAAAAUAACCAAACAACUUAACUGGUUUCUUUGCUAAUCUGUGCCGUGCCGUGUCGUGACCGGUGGAGAAACAAAGCCUGCACAGCUUCGAGAAACGAGAGAGAACAACAGUUUACAGAUCGGUGGAUAGUCUGGCAGCUCUUCCUCACACAAACCAUGGUGGCGGCCAUCCUGAAAAUGUAUUUCUUUGGAACAGCACUUUCUGUCCUUGCAGUCCUUUAUGAAAUAGCGGACUCCGUUGGUGGUCUCAUGCAUGUGCAGGACCAUCACUACUUACAGGAGCUGAACCAACAGACAGAGAGUGACAUUUCUUCAAACAACUGGAGAGGGCGGCCCGUGACUAAAAACAUUGGCUCAUGAGAAGAUCGUCAUGUUGUAGUUUUUGGACAUGUUCCUCAACUGUCUGCAAGGACAUGGAAUUUUCACUGAUGUGGAUUUAUGGUCCAAAUGGAUCUCUCUGUUUGGGCACUUUUUUGUAGCCCGUUGUCUGCUGUGAUAUCUUGUAGCAGCUAUUCUGUAAAAAGCACUACUGAACACAGAACAUGUUCCUUGUGUUAAAAGUACACAUUUUGUAUAUAAUUUUCUAAACAAAGUGAAUUAAAACUGUUUUUUUUAAGGGGGUUGGGGGGAUUUUUUUGAUGAAUGCUUUUGAUGUGUGUAAGUUUAUUGCAGCCUUUUGGUUUGGUAGUGAUCAUGCAAUUGAACUUGGAGACAAAAAGAGAAAUGCAGGCUGCCAUAAAACUAACAGGCCUUAACAAAACAUGACUUCUCUAGAAAAGAGAGAAAAAAAAAAAAAAAAACCUUCAGGCUGCCAGCAAAAAUUGUGCAACAAGGUCCCCACUGUGUAAAGAUCUGUCUGCCUUUUUGUUGUGAGUAAGGUUUUGUGAAUCAAAUAUGGGUUGCGCGACAAAGCUGGGAAAUGAUCUGUAAAACAUGAAAACCAUGACUCUGUGCAUGAUUUCAACAUGAAUAAAGAUAAAUUGUUAUAAAUAAA